AACGCGAAGAACCUUACCUACCCUUGACAUGGUCGGAAUCCUGCUGAGAGGCGGGAGUGCUCGAAAGAGAACCGGCGCACAGGUGCUGCAUGGCUGUCGUCAGCUCGUGUCGUGAGAUGUUGGGUUAAGUCCCGCAACGAGCGCAACCCUUGUCAUUAGUUGCUACGAAAGGGCACUCUAAUGAGACUGCCGGUGACAAACCGGAGGAAGGUGGGGAUGACGUCAAGUCCUCAUGGCCCUUAUGGGUAGGGCUUCACACGUCAUACAAUGGUACAUACAGAGGGUUGCCAACCCGCGAGGGGGAGCUAAUCCCAGAAAGUGUAUCGUAGUCCGGAUUGGAGUCUGCAACUCGACUCCAUGAAGUUGGAAUCGCUAGUAAUCGCGGAUCAGCAUGUCGCGGUGAAUACGUUCCCGGGCCUUGUA
RNAcentral lists this ribosomal RNA (423 nucleotides) under uncultured beta proteobacterium. Its description in RNAcentral is "bacterial SSU rRNA". It matches the Rfam family "Bacterial small subunit ribosomal RNA", at positions 958 to 1385 of the family's 1533-position model. Lineage: Bacteria; Pseudomonadati; Pseudomonadota; Betaproteobacteria. The record is from RNAcentral.